AGAGUUUGAUCAUGGCUCAGAACGAACGUUGGCGGCGUGGAUUAGGCAUGCAAGUCGAACGAGAACCCGGGGGCAACUCUGGGGGAAAGUGGCGAAAGGGGCAGUAAGGCGUGGGUAACCUACCUCGGGACGGGGAUAGCCAUCCUAACGGAUGGGUAAUACCCGGAGAAGUAGCUGAGGCGCCUGUCUUGGCUACGAAA
RNAcentral lists this ribosomal RNA (200 nucleotides) under uncultured bacterium. RNAcentral describes it as "partial 16S ribosomal RNA". It matches the Rfam family "Bacterial small subunit ribosomal RNA", at positions 8 to 205 of the family's 1533-position model. The record is from RNAcentral.